UACGUAGGGCACAAGCGUUGUCCGGAAUUAUUGGGCGUAAAGAGCUCGUAGGCGGUUUGUCGCGUCUGUCGUGAAAGCUUGGGGCUUAACCCCAAGUCUGCGGUGGAUACGGGCAGACUAGAGGCAGGUAGGGGAGAACGGAAUUCCCGGUGUAGCGGUGAAAUGCGCAGAUAUCGGGAGGAACACCGGUGGCGAAGGCGGUUCUCUGGGCCUGUACUGACGCUGAGGAGCGAAAGCGUGGGGAGCGAACAGG
RNAcentral lists this ribosomal RNA (253 nucleotides) under uncultured bacterium. RNAcentral describes it as "partial 16S ribosomal RNA". It matches the Rfam family "Bacterial small subunit ribosomal RNA", at positions 524 to 776 of the family's 1533-position model. The record is from RNAcentral.